Non-coding RNA from Danio rerio (zebrafish), 680 nucleotides. The record is from RefSeq and is a predicted model, not a curated record. NCBI's taxonomy places the organism in Eukaryota, Metazoa, Chordata, Actinopteri, Cypriniformes, Danionidae.
AAUGAACUUUCCCUAUUGUUAGUUUUACUAAACCCAUCCUUGUUCACAUUACAUAAAACAUAAUAGUAAUUAAAUUAACAUAAGUUUACCAUGUUAUUUCUACAAAAAUGUAGUACUGUAGGCUUUACUUAAUAAGGGUUUGACAGGCCAACUUAACAUUGUUGAGUAAAACGCAAAAACCUCUUAAGAUUGGAUAUUUGCUGAUACCGUAGCUACCUACCUGGAGGCGGAGCAACGGAACAGUCAGAGAGAGGAACAUGUGAAGCACAUGAGGAGGAGAAGAUGGUGGCUUUGUCAGAUUGCUGCUGAAUUCAGUCGAAUCACUACUGUCCCACUAAUUCAAACAUUUUUCAAAACUGGAUGGUUACACCAGCAAGCUGGACAGCAUUUACCGUACAAAAGAAGAAAUUGCAAAAUGGAAAAUUUGAAAACUCAUGGCUACCAUCGACAAGAAUGAUGCCAUCUCAACUUGGAGAGCUUGCAUUCUCAGAGCACUUUCUGUGUAUCUUAAUGAAGACUAUUAAAACCUCAUGAAGGAGUAUACAGCGACAGACUUUGAGAGAGACAUGGCCAAUACUGUCAUUUAAAUCUACAUCUUUAAGCCUGAAGGUGUAGAAGUCUGUGACCCACCAUCAGUUGCUGGACUAAUUUUUGAGGGAGUAAAAGUGCUUCAGAACCUC